UCUUCCGUAGUAUAGUGGUGAGUAUGCAAGCUUGUCACGCUUGAGACCCGGGUUCAAUUCCCGGCGGGAGAG
This 72-nucleotide transfer RNA is filed under the name Fusarium oxysporum NRRL 32931. Its description in RNAcentral is "tRNA-Asp (GTC) (tRNA-Asp-GTC-2-1)". It matches the Rfam family "tRNA". From Rfam's summary of the family: Transfer RNA (tRNA) molecules are approximately 80 nucleotides in length. Their secondary structure includes four short double-helical elements and three loops (D, anti-codon, and T loops). Lineage: Eukaryota; Fungi; Ascomycota; Sordariomycetes; Hypocreales; Nectriaceae. The record is from Rfam by way of RNAcentral.